This 830-nucleotide long non-coding RNA is filed under the name Homo sapiens (human). Its description in RNAcentral is "HSALNT0371955". The record is from RNAcentral. Lineage: Eukaryota; Metazoa; Chordata; Mammalia; Primates; Hominidae.
CUGGAAAACACAAGAGUAACACAAACUCCAGAGAAUAUGCUGCUUGCAGCUUUAAUGAUUGUAUCAACGGUGUCUACAGGUGUAUACAACAGCUCCGGAGAGACAGCGACCAGCGAGAACGGGUCAUGAUGACGAUGGCGGUUUUGUCAAAAAGAAAAGGGGGAAAUGUAGGGAAAAGAAAGAGAGAUCAGACUGUCACUGUGCCUAUGUAGAAAGGGAAGACAUAAGAGACUCCAUUUUGAAAAAGACCUGUACUUUAAACAAUUGCUUUGCUGAGAUGUUGUUAAUUUGUAGCUUUCCCCAGCCACUUUGACCCAACCUGGAGCUCACAAAAACAUGUGUUGUAUAAAAUCAAUGUUUAAGGGAUCUAGGGCUGUGCAGGACGUGCCUUGUUAACAAAAUGUUUACAAGCAGUAUACUUGGUAAAAGUCAUCGCCAUUCUCUAGUCUCAAUAAACCAGGGCACAGUGCACUGCAGAAAGCCGCAGAGACCUCUGCCCUUGAAAGCAGGGUAUUGUCCAAGGUUUCUCCCAAUGUGAGAGUCUGAAAUAUGGCCUCGUGGGAUGAGAAAGACCUGACCGUCCCCCAGCCCGACACCUGUAAAAGGUCUGUGCUGAGAUGGAUGAGUAAAAGAGGAAAGCCUCUUGCAGUUGAGAUAGAGGAAGGCCACUGUCUCCUGUCUGCCCCUGGGAACUGAAUGUCUCGGUAUAAAACCCGAUUGUACAUUUGUUCAAUUCUGAGAUAGUAGCAAAACCGCCCUAUGGUGGGAGGCGAGAUAUGUUUGCAGUAAUGCUGCCUUGUUAUUCUUUACUCCGCUGAGAUGUUUGGGUG